This 503-nucleotide ribosomal RNA is filed under the name uncultured bacterium. RNAcentral describes it as "partial 16S ribosomal RNA". It matches the Rfam family "Bacterial small subunit ribosomal RNA", at positions 28 to 505 of the family's 1533-position model. The record is from RNAcentral.
GACGAACGCUGGCGGCGUGCCUAAUACAUGCAAGUAGAACGCACAGUUUAUACCGUAGCUUGCUACACCAUAGACUGUGAGUUGCGAACGGGUGAGUAACGCGUAGGUAACCUGCCUGGUAGCGGGGGAUAACUAUUGGAAACGAUAGCUAAUACCGCAUAAUAUUAAUUAUUGCAUGAUAAUUAAUUGAAAGGUGCAAUUGCACCACUACCAGAUGGACCUGCGUUGUAUUAGCUAGUAGGUGAGGUAACGGCUCACCUAGGCGACGAUACAUAGCCGACCUGAGGGGGUGAUCGGCCACACUGGGACUGAGACACGGCCCAGACCCCUACGGGAGGCAGCAGUAGGGAAUCUUCGGCAAUGGACGAAAGUCUGACCGAGCAACGCCGCGUGAGUGAAGAAGGUUUUCGGAUCGUAAAGCUCUGUUGUAAGAGAAGAACGGGUGUGAGAGUGGAAAGUUCACACUGUGACGGUAUCUUACCAGAAAGGGGCGGCUAACUACG